This is a long non-coding RNA of Clupea harengus (Atlantic herring), 1229 nucleotides long. Lineage: Eukaryota; Metazoa; Chordata; Actinopteri; Clupeiformes; Clupeidae. The record is from Ensembl.
ACCUGCUGCCUGCACCUCGCCUCACCUCACCAAGCACCUGUGUUUCACCAGACGUUUACUUUGACACAUUUUUAAGUUUAUAUGUGAAAUGUCUUUGAAACGUCCUCAGCAGGAAUGGUGUUUAGAUCUACUAGAGGUGUGUGAUACAGUGUGGCCAUGCAGUUUGACGGGACGUCAGCUGGCACAGAUUAUUACCCCAUUCCUGUCACAGGGGGAUUGGCCUAUGAGCUUCACCAGUGCCCUAUUGGCCAGCAUUACCUGUUUCCACCUCUCACGACAAGGACGUUAGGGUUGGACUUUGAGAGGCUGGGGUUGGACUUUGAGAGGCAUCUGUAAACUAAAAUAAAAAAAUUAUCUUAGAUCCAUCGUAAUUUUCGCUGACAUAAUGAAAAACUGUUUGACACAUAUUACGUUAGGGGCCUUUAAUAUGGAAACACAAUUUAACCUAUGCCAGUCAACUACUUAAAAUCACCAAGGCAACUAAUGCAGAAGUGUUAAUGUGACAUUGGGAAACACUAUUUUUGUUGUCGUUCAAUCAGAGACAACUACAUGUUGUGCCUUUAAAUACAUUUAAGUCUAUGGAGAACAACACUGGCCAUCGACCCCAAACCACUGAGGGACACACACACACACACACACAGACACACAGUCACACAGACACACACACACACACACACACAUUAUAAAGGUUACCGCUAAGGGUUAAAGAUAAUUAAAGACAGGCUCUUCUUAAAGGACACGACUGAACAGGGGUGGAUGUAGAUGCUGUGUCAUUCAAGGUUGUGUCAAAUCCUCAUAAGAGAGUCAACAACAACAACAACAACAACAACAACGACACUGUGACCUCGGCGCCUCUGUCAGCUGCUCUGUGAUGUCUGUCCAGCAUGACUGAAGCUCUGACUGGGACAGCGGCCGUGGCCAAGGCUGGAGUCCCUCUAGUGCUCUUUGUGACUCUGGAACAUCAUAAAUUGAAAUAACAGCAGCUCUGUGUUUCCUGUGGUCUCUCCCAGAGGAGUGGGAUGGGGGGUCAGUUUGAUGGAUAAGCUGAGACAGAUCAAUAUGAGAUGUGAGAGGGCGGGGGGGGCUCCGAACAGCUCCCAUAGCACAGAAUGCGUCUCUACCCAGGAGUGAUGUAGGCAUGUACACGUUUAGAGAUUACUCACAAUUUGCACUCGCAAUCUCUUUUUUUUUUAGUUUUUGUGGGAACGCUGGAGUACAUGUACAAUGUU